RNAcentral lists this ribosomal RNA (492 nucleotides) under uncultured bacterium. RNAcentral's name for it is "partial 16S ribosomal RNA". It matches the Rfam family "Bacterial small subunit ribosomal RNA", at positions 29 to 507 of the family's 1533-position model. The record is from RNAcentral.
AGUGAACGCUGGCGGUAGGCCUAACACAUGCAAGUCGAACGGCAGCACAGUAAGAGCUUGCUCUUACGGGUGGCGAGUGGCGGACGGGUGAGGAAUACAUCGGAAUCUACUUUUUCGUGGGGGUUAACGUAGGGAAACUUACGCUAAUACCGCAUACGACCUACGGGUGAAAGCAGGGGAUCUUCGGACCUUGCGCGAUUGAAUGAGCCGAUGUCGGAUUAGCUAGUUGGCGGGGUAAAGGCCCACCAAGGCGACGAUCCGUAGCUGGUCUGAGAGGAUGAUCAGCCACACGGGAACUGAGACACGGUCCAGACUCCUACGGGAGGCAGCAGUGGGGAAUAUUGGACAAUGGGCGCAAGCCUGAUCCAGCCAGACCGCGUGGGUGAAGAAGGCCUUCGGGUUGUAAAGCCCUUUUGUUGGGAAAGAAAAGCAGCAGGUUAAUACCCCGCUGUUCUGACGGUACCCAAAGAAUAAGCACCGGCUAACUUCGUG